This 1808-nucleotide ribosomal RNA is filed under the name Staphylococcus epidermidis. Its description in RNAcentral is "bacterial LSU rRNA". It matches the Rfam family "Bacterial large subunit ribosomal RNA", at positions 1120 to 2925 of the family's 2925-position model. The record is from RNAcentral. Lineage: Bacteria; Bacillati; Bacillota; Bacilli; Caryophanales; Staphylococcaceae.
CAUUUAAAGAGUGCGUAAUAGCUCACUAGUCGAGUGACACUGCGCCGAAAAUGUACCGGGGCUAAACAUAUUACCGAAGCUGUGGAUUGUCCUUUGGACAAUGGUAGGAGAGCGUUCUAAGGGCGUCGAAGCAUGAUCGCAAGGACAUGUGGAGCGCUUAGAAGUGAGAAUGCCGGUGUGAGUAGCGAAAGACGGGUGAGAAUCCCGUCCACCGAUUGACUAAGGUUUCCAGAGGAAGGCUCGUCCGCUCUGGGUUAGUCGGGUCCUAAGCUGAGGCCGACAGGCGUAGGCGAUGGAUAACAGGUUGAUAUUCCUGUACCACCUAGUAUCGUUUUAAUCGAUGGGGGGACGCAGUAGGAUAGGCGAAGCGUGCUGUUGGAGUGCACGUCCAAGCAGUAAGGCUGAGUGUUAGGCAAAUCCGGCACUCAUAAGGCUGAGCUGUGAUGGGGAGAGGAAAUUGUUUCCUCGAGUCGUUGAUUUCACACUGCCGAGAAAAGCCUCUAGAUAGAUAACAGGUGCCCGUACCGCAAACCGACACAGGUAGUCAAGAUGAGAAUUCUAAGGUGAGCGAGCGAACUCUCGUUAAGGAACUCGGCAAAAUGACCCCGUAACUUCGGGAGAAGGGGUGCUCUUUAGGGUUCACGCCCAGAAGAGCCGCAGUGAAUAGGCCCAAGCGACUGUUUAUCAAAAACACAGGUCUCUGCUAAACCGUAAGGUGAUGUAUAGGGGCUGACGCCUGCCCGGUGCUGGAAGGUUAAGAGGAGUGGUUAGCUUCUGCGAAGCUACGAAUCGAAGCCCCAGUAAACGGCGGCCGUAACUAUAACGGUCCUAAGGUAGCGAAAUUCCUUGUCGGGUAAGUUCCGACCCGCACGAAAGGCGUAACGAUUUGGGCACUGUCUCAACGAGAGACUCGGUGAAAUCAUAGUACCUGUGAAGAUGCAGGUUACCCGCGACAGGACGGAAAGACCCCGUGGAGCUUUACUGUAGCCUGAUAUUGAAAUUCGGCACAGCUUGUACAGGAUAGGUAGGAGCCUUUGAAACGUGAGCGCUAGCUUACGUGGAGGCGUUGGUGGGAUACUACCCUAGCUGUGUUGGCUUUCUAACCCGCACCACUUAUCGUGGUGGGAGACAGUGUCAGGCGGGCAGUUUGACUGGGGCGGUCGCCUCCUAAAAGGUAACGGAGGCGCUCAAAGGUUCCCUCAGAAUGGUUGGAAAUCAUUCAUAGAGUGUAAAGGCAUAAGGGAGCUUGACUGCGAGACCUACAAGUCGAGCAGGGUCGAAAGACGGACUUAGUGAUCCGGUGGUUCCGCAUGGAAGGGCCAUCGCUCAACGGAUAAAAGCUACCCCGGGGAUAACAGGCUUAUCUCCCCCAAGAGUUCACAUCGACGGGGAGGUUUGGCACCUCGAUGUCGGCUCAUCGCAUCCUGGGGCUGUAGUCGGUCCCAAGGGUUGGGCUGUUCGCCCAUUAAAGCGGUACGCGAGCUGGGUUCAGAACGUCGUGAGACAGUUCGGUCCCUAUCCGUCGUGGGCGUAGGAAAUUUGAGAGGAGCUGUCCUUAGUACGAGAGGACCGGGAUGGACAUACCUCUGGUGUACCAGUUGUCGUGCCAACGGCAUAGCUGGGUAGCUAUGUAUGGACGGGAUAAGUGCUGAAAGCAUCUAAGCAUGAAGCCCCCCUCAAGAUGAGAUUUCCCAACUUCGGUUAUAAGAUCCCUCGAAGAUGACGAGGUUAAUAGGUUCGAGGUGGAAGCGUGGUGACACGUGGAGCUGACGAAUACUAAUCGAUCGAAGACUUAAUCAAUUUUUAAA